GGGGGCGAAACGGUUUCGACGAGGGCGGAGAAGCCCUGUUGGCGUGUCGCCGGAUUCGGUAGCGGCGUCAAAAACAUCCGGAAACCCACAAGUGCGAACGACAACGCGCUUGCUCUCGCUGCCUAGUAAGUAGUCAGAGAGCCGUCGAAGGCUGGAGCCCGUCAGCGCUCCACCGGAGGCGUAAUCGAGCUGGCUGGCCCAAUCCCACGUGAUCCGGGGUGAGGGCGAGAAAACAGGAUCGCUCGCGGUGAGAACAGCCCGUCUGCAGGCGGCGCUCACUGCCAAACCAAAUUGCAGACUACACACGUAGAAGGCAGUGUUGCGGACUGCUCGCGGACGCGGGUUCGACUCCCGCCGCCUCCAUCG
This 366-nucleotide transfer-messenger RNA is filed under the name Myxococcales bacterium. It matches the Rfam family "transfer-messenger RNA". Rfam says of the family: Bacterial tmRNA, also known as 10Sa RNA or SsrA, is named for its dual tRNA and mRNA-like properties. Its role is to liberate the mRNA from a stalled ribosome. To accomplish this part of the tmRNA is used as a reading frame that ends in a translation stop signal. The record is from RNAcentral. RNAcentral also lists the same sequence under 1 other name. Lineage: Bacteria; Pseudomonadati; Myxococcota; Myxococcia; Myxococcales.